This is a non-coding RNA of Potamilus streckersoni, 74 nucleotides long. The record is from the annotation of a GenBank genome assembly. Lineage: Eukaryota; Metazoa; Mollusca; Bivalvia; Unionida; Unionidae.
GUCUCCUGUGGCCUAGUGGUUAGAGCAUCCGCCUUAUAUGCGGGAGGUCGCGAGUUCGAACCCAGGCCGAGUCA